This 450-nucleotide ribosomal RNA is filed under the name uncultured Glomeromycotina. RNAcentral describes it as "SSU rRNA". It matches the Rfam family "Eukaryotic small subunit ribosomal RNA", at positions 569 to 1026 of the family's 1831-position model. The record is from RNAcentral. Lineage: Eukaryota; Fungi; Glomeromycota.
UGCAGCCGCGGUAAUUCCAGCUCCAAUAGCGUAUAUUAAAGUUGUUGCAGUUAAAAAGCUCGUAGUUGAAUUUCGGGAUCAAUAUGUUGGUCAUGCCUUGGUACGUACUAAUUUAUUGGUUUCUUCCUUCUGACGAACCAUGAUGUCAUUAAUUUGGUGUUAUGGGGAAUCAGGACUGUUACUUUGAAAAAAUUAGAGUGUUUAAAGCAGGCUCACGCUUGAAUACAUUAGCAUGGAAUAAUGAAAUAGGACGUUUGAUUCUAUUUUGUUGGUUUCUAGGAUCGACGUAAUGAUUAAUAGGGAUAGUUGGGGGCAUUAGUAUUCAAUUGUCAGAGGUGAAAUUCUUGGAUUUAUUGAAGACUAACUACUGCGAAAGCAUCUGCCAAGGAUGUUUUCAUUAAUCAAGAACGAAAGUUAGGGAUCGAAGACGAUCAGAUACCGUUAUAGUCU